GCUUGGCUGGCUCAGUUGGUAGAGCACGAGACUCUCAAUCUUAAGGAUGUGAGUUCGAACUCCAUAUUGGGCG
Molecule: transfer RNA, 73 nt
Filed under: Canis lupus familiaris (dog)
Lineage: Eukaryota; Metazoa; Chordata; Mammalia; Carnivora; Canidae
Rfam family: tRNA
About the family: Transfer RNA (tRNA) molecules are approximately 80 nucleotides in length.
Source: Rfam by way of RNAcentral